AACGAACGCUGGCGGCAUGCCUAACACAUGCAAGUCGAACGAGACCUCCGGGUCUAGUGGCGCACGGGUGCGUAACGCGUGGGAACCUGCCCUUAGGUUCGGAAUAACUCCCCGAAAGGGGUGCUAAUACCGGAGAAUGUAUUCGGACAAAAGAUUUAUCGCCUUUGGAUGGGCCCGCGUUGGCUUAGCUAGUUGGUAGGGUAAAAGCCUACCAAGGCGACGAUCCAUAGCUGGUCUGAGAGGAUGAUCAGCCACACUGGGACUGAGACACGGCCCAGACUCCUACGGGAGGCAGCAGUGGGGAAUAUUGGACAAUGGGCGAAAGCCUGAUCCAGCAAUGCCGCGUGAGUGAUGAAGGCCUUAGGGUUGUAAAGCUCUUUUACCCGGGAUGAUAAUGACAGUACCGGGAGAAUAAGCUCCGGCUAACUCCGUG
Molecule: ribosomal RNA, 433 nt
Filed under: uncultured bacterium
Lineage: Bacteria
Description: partial 16S ribosomal RNA
Rfam family: Bacterial small subunit ribosomal RNA
Source: RNAcentral